CUGCGUAUACACGCUCGGGUGAGCACGCUUGGUGAUACAUGGAGGGGAGAGUGCCAAAAGGGGGAAGAAAUCAGCUGAUAUCGAAGCGCACAAUUUCUAGAGCGUUCACGCACUCUGGGAGGCAACGAUAGGAAAAUAUCUCUCAUUUUACGUGCAAUAAUUCACAACGUGGACAACAAAAGAUAUGGAAUAUCGCUGUAUUGUAUAGACUGUAGAUAGGGUCAUCAGAUAGGAUCGGUGGAGCUAUAUUCUAGAAAAGGACAGCGAAUCGAUAAUUCAUAAUAGGCUUGUUUGAAGGAAAUAUAACCGGAUGUUCAAGAAAG
Molecule: long non-coding RNA, 323 nt
Organism: Formica exsecta
Lineage: Eukaryota; Metazoa; Arthropoda; Insecta; Hymenoptera; Formicidae
Exons: 3
Source: RefSeq, a predicted model, not a curated record